GCCGUGGUCGAUCCUACCUCUCGCCGAUGUUGUUCCACCCAGGAUCGUCGCUGUAGGUACGGCGUCGCUGAUGGUGAUGAACGUCCGUUGAGUUCGGGUAAAACCCUGCCGUUUAGGAUACGCAGGAUCGAUGAUGUUGUUCCAUCCAGGAUCGUCGCUGUAGGUACGGCGUCGCUGAUGGUGAUGAACGUCCGUUGAGUUCGGGUAAAAACCCUGCCGUUUAGGAUACGCAGGAUCGAUGAUGUUGUUCCAUCCAGGAUCGUCGCUGCAGGUACGGCGUCGCUGAUGGUGAUGAACGUCCGUUGAGUUCGGGUA
Molecule: long non-coding RNA, 315 nt
Organism: Anopheles darlingi
Lineage: Eukaryota; Metazoa; Arthropoda; Insecta; Diptera; Culicidae
Exons: 3
Source: RefSeq, a predicted model, not a curated record